This 281-nucleotide ribosomal RNA is filed under the name Staphylococcus aureus. RNAcentral describes it as "partial 23S ribosomal RNA". It matches the Rfam family "Bacterial large subunit ribosomal RNA", at positions 2089 to 2369 of the family's 2925-position model. The record is from RNAcentral. Lineage: Bacteria; Bacillati; Bacillota; Bacilli; Caryophanales; Staphylococcaceae.
CCCCGUGGAGCUUUACUGUAGCCUGAUAUUGAAAUUCGGCACAGCUUGUACAGGAUAGGUAGGAGCCUUUGAAACGUGAGCGCUAGCUUACGUGGAGGCGCUGGUGGGAUACUACCCUAGCUGUGUUGGCUUUCUAACCCACACCACUUAUCGUGGUGGGAGACAGUGUCAGGCGGGCAGUUUGACUGGGGCGGUCGCCUCCUAAAAGGUAACGGAGGCGCUCAAAGGUUCCCUCAGAAUGGUUGGAAAUCAUUCAUAGAGUGUAAAGGCAUAAGGGAGCU